UACGUAGGGUGCGAGCGUUAAUCGGAAUUACUGGGCGUAAAGUGUGCGCAGGUGGCCGCGCAAGUCGAGUGUGAAAGCCCCGGGCUUAACUUGGGAAUUGCGCUCGAAACUACGUGGCUAGAGUGUGGCAGAGGGAGGUGGAAUUCCACGUGUAGCGGCGAAAUGCGUAGAGAUGUGGAGGAACACCAAUGGCGAAGGCAGCCUCCUGGGCCAACACUGACACUCAUGCACGAAAGCGUGGGGAGCAAACAGG
This 253-nucleotide ribosomal RNA is filed under the name uncultured bacterium. Its description in RNAcentral is "partial 16S ribosomal RNA". It matches the Rfam family "Bacterial small subunit ribosomal RNA", at positions 524 to 776 of the family's 1533-position model. The record is from RNAcentral.